RNAcentral lists this unclassified non-coding RNA (346 nucleotides) under uncultured fungus. RNAcentral's name for it is "partial contains 5.8S ribosomal RNA and internal transcribed spacer 2". The stretch from base 1 to 133 matches the Rfam family "5.8S ribosomal RNA", at positions 22 to 154 of the family's 154-position model. Lineage: Eukaryota; Fungi. The record is from RNAcentral.
UGGUUCUGGCAUCGAUGAAGAACGCAGCGAAAUGCGAUAAGUAAUGUGAAUUGCAGAAUUCAGUGAAUCAUCGAAUCUUUGAACGCACAUUGCGCCCAUCAGUAUUCUGGUGGGCAUGCCUGUUCGAGCGUCAUUUCAACCCUUAAGCCUAGCUUAGUGUUGGGAAUCUACAUCUGGGGUCACACUUGUGUGAUUACCCUGUAGUUCCCGAAAAUCAACGGCGGAUUUGUAGUAUCCUCUGAGCGUAGUAAUUCUUUAUCUCGCUUUUGUCUAGGUACUAUAACUCUUGCCGUUAAACCCCCAAUUUUUAAUGGUUGACCUCGGAUCAGGUAGGAAUACCCGCUGA